Molecule: transfer RNA, 72 nt
Filed under: Urocitellus parryii (Arctic ground squirrel)
Lineage: Eukaryota; Metazoa; Chordata; Mammalia; Rodentia; Sciuridae
Also listed under: 1 other name
Description: Spermophilus parryii (Arctic ground squirrel) tRNA
Rfam family: tRNA
About the family: Transfer RNA (tRNA) molecules are approximately 80 nucleotides in length. Their secondary structure includes four short double-helical elements and three loops (D, anti-codon, and T loops).
Source: Rfam by way of RNAcentral
GGAGAUGUGGCUCAGUGGUAGAGUGCUUGCUUAGCAUGCACAAGGCCCUGGGUUCAACCCCCAGUAACUCCC